Molecule: RNA transcript, 2668 nt
Organism: Chelmon rostratus (copperband butterflyfish)
Lineage: Eukaryota; Metazoa; Chordata; Actinopteri; Chaetodontiformes; Chaetodontidae
Gene name: twist-related protein 2-like
Exons: 2
Source: RefSeq, a predicted model, not a curated record
GUUUCCACAUAUGUUGAUGAAGAAGCACUGUGGCCAUCCAAAACUGAGUGCUGAUUACUAACCCGCUGUGGCCGGGCAUGUUUGGAUGUGACAAAGUGUAAAGCUGAUUUUUGGAGAAGAGGAACAACGCAGCAGAAGGCCGGAGAAACACGUAACAGAGGGAGUUCCUGAAGACGAACAGAAGAGAGGAAGACUGUAUGUAAAAAGCCACGGGGGAGUGGAGAGAGGCAGACUGAAGGAAAGGGAGAAGCACUGGAGAUAUUCAGAGGAGUGAAUGAUAGAGAGUCACAUAAAGGAGAGAGGAGACAGAAGAAAAACGUGGCCAAGCAUGAGAGAGGAGGAGCAGUCUAAUGAUGACCACCCUGAGGGAGGGGUGGUUUCCAGCGAGGAGAACACGGGACGACCACCUUCUAACGCCUGUCCCGUCGUUGUAGCAACGCCGCGGGUCACCGGGCAUAAACGGCAGACGUGCUCGCAUACGGAGGAUCAGGUUACCGUGGUUACCCCAACCACAUCAGCAGACGAUGGCAAGGUCAAGUCAGGGGAUGGCAUCCAGAUCUACACCCCGACUGGACCCAAAAGACUCAAGAAGAGUCCCCAACAUCGGCCAGCUUCCUCGAGCCCAUCCCUUUCUCCUGUCCCCGGUCCCAGUCCUGGAGGCCUCUCAGCCCUGGAGGACCCGCACGGCCAGCGGGUGAUCGCCAACAUCCGGGAGCGCCAAAGGACACAAUCUCUGAACGAAGCCUUCGCCUCAUUGCGUAAGAUAAUCCCAACGCUCCCCUCUGACAAACUGAGCAAGAUCCAGACCCUUAAACUGGCGUCGCGCUACAUUGACUUUCUGUACCAGGUUCUGCAGAGCGAUGACAUAGACACUAAGCUGGCUGGAUGUAAUUACCUGGCCCACGAGAGACUGAGCUACGCCUUCUCUGUCUGGAGGAUGGAGGGGGCCUGGUCGACCAUGUCUGCUGGACACUAGCCCCACCUGACCGCAAGGUUUGUGUUUUGCCUGUCGCCGUAAAACGUAUGAUCAAUUCCUCAUGACAGGGAAAUAUUCUUACUUGAGUCAGAGGCCUGAGAGAUGAACUGUGUCUGCUCACCAGUGGACUCGCACUAUUUAACGCCUCAACUUAGAUCAUCUGUUUCCCUCAGUGAUGAUGGAAAGACUGCGAGGAGAAGGCUUUAUAUGAGCAUUUGAACAGAGCUGAAUUUAAAUCCAAAUGUGAUUCUCUUGCUUUGCUUGCCAAAAGCAGCUAUAACUGCUCAUGAGUGGCAACGGUAGUGAAAGGUAUCACAGCGGGGACAUUGUGCUCAGCGUAAGAUUCCUAGACGUUUUGCACACUGUCUAUAUUGAUCACGAUGGAGGACAGGACAGGUGGGACAAAAACAGACCGACAUCAUUCAGUUUUCAUUUAUUCAUCAACCUGAAGGUGAGGGAUGCCCCGUCCUAAAUGUUGCCCCCAUGUGACAGCAUGGUUCAUUCUGCUGGAGCCCUCUGACCCAUCGGCUUUCUCUGGUUUGAUCCUCAUCAUCACCCUUGAUUUUAUCACCGUAACUGCCAUCAGUACCAUCAUCAUCAUCAUUAAUAUUGUCAUUAUACAUACUUUAAGCCACAUUUGAACUUCAUUUCAUAUUUUGAUUUAACUUUAUUUCUAGAGAAUGCAGAUGAGGGAUAAGAUGAAAGUCAGAGCUGGAAAGACAAAAAUGGAUGUUUCAAGAGAGAUCGGCCCUUUGACUUUUCCGUACCCUUUCAGUUCCUACUUUUUCCAAGACUCUGACAUAUUAUGAAUCCCUGACCACCUCUGAACCCAAGCAAUGGUGGAAAAAGUAGCCGUGGGCAGCCGUCGUCCUGACUUAAGUUUCUCCUCUUUAUACCCAAACCAAGCCCCUUUGUUUCUUCGAGUGCCAAAAAAACUCUCCUCUUGAAAUUCUUUCCUCUCAUUCUGGCUGAAAUUUGCUUGCGUUGCACGAAACCGUGAUGCAGCUACAGCGAACUGACGAGGAGGCGUAAUGAAAACAAACGGUCUCUAAAAGCCAUGAAUCAUGUGUGUCACCAUCAAAGGGGAGGCUGAUGUGGCUCCCUGCUGGGCUCCCAUAAACCACUGGAAGUGAUGGAGGAGCUGCUGAAUAAAGUGACUGUGAUCUUCCUUGUACAUCUCUGCUCCAUGCUACCAUUUCUGCGAUUCUAUUCACGUGGACUUUGAUGCAAACGGAACUCUUUAGGUACCUCACUUUUGGAGAAAAGGACUAUUUAAGAUUAUUAAAAGGCAUCUUUAUCAGGAUACAGACACGGGGAUAUGGGGAAAGAAGACUUUCCUCUGAACCAACUAAACCAACAGAGCUGUCAUUUAUCAAGAAGAAACUGACAAUACAGGUCGGGCUGGAUCAGUACUUGUGUUCAGUUUUUGUGUUUCAUACAAUUUUUCCUGCAGUUAAAGCGAGACUUCAAACCGGGACAGUGAUUAUUGUGUUUGUCUGCUUUCCACCAGUUUACUGACAGAGUGAGGCUCUGGUUUUUUGUAGGACCAUUUACUUGAAGUAUAUGUGGUGCUUUAUAAAAAUGACUAACACAGCAUGUUUUGUGAUAUAAACAACAACAACAAGCAGAAAAUAAUGAUGCAGAGUUGGAUGUAGUGAUACAUGUAGCACAUGUAUCAUUAUUUGUCUGAAA